GAAGCCAGAAAAGUGAAGUCAGAUGCCAGGAAACUAAAUCCACUUCUUGAACUAAAGAUAGAAGGUGAAAACAGCAUUAAACUCUAAUUUGCCCUGAAUCUUGUAGUGGGGUGGAACACUUAGAGUACCCCACUGAACAGUAUCUACUUAGCUUUAUUUAUUUUUUUAAAGUAUACAGACUUUCCUUCUAACCAAGGCAGUGUGUUCUAUCUGAAUCUCACUAGACAUUAGUAAGUGAUUUAAAAAAAAAAAAAAAAAAAAGAUUGAGAAAAGAGGAAAUUCCCUAUGGAAUCAUCUAUAAAUGUGUGCCCUUUGAUAACAUGAGCUCUGGAGCAGGGCAUCAGUAGCAAUCAAGACAUUUUUAAUAUUUUAAGAGGAUCUGAUGCUCACAAGAGGGUUUUCACUGACAGCCCUACACACUGAAGUCUAUUCAGCCACAGGAAGCCACACUGUAACCUUCCCCAAGUAGCCCUGCCACCGCCAUGACCAAGAGAGACCACUGUCAAAGACAAGAAAGUAGUUCCCUCUUCACGACUAUUUAAUAUGAACAUCUCUGCUGAGGCUGCCAUCAAGGAUACUGGUCAUGACCACUUUUGAUAGAGACAUGGACAUCUCUCCACUAGGAACUAGGCAGACCAACCCACUCAGAUAGGUUUUCACACAAGCACAUGAUGGUAAAUGCUUUUGGGCCUAGUUUCAGAGACGUGGAAGUCAAUGGGCUCUGCAGGUGCAGAGUUACAAGUCAGGGGGGGAGGGACAGCACACGACACAUCAGAUCCUUUAUCUUAAAUGAGUUCUGGGGGAACGAACUGGAAAAAAAAAAUCACUGCAAUCUUCCCCCUAAAAACAAACAACAAAAAACAAAACCCUCACAACAUGUAGGGACCCUUGAAGCCUGCACCUGCUUUCACAGAAGUCAGUAGGAGUUUUGUCAUUAGUCACUAGAGCUCAUACCUCCCUGAUUCUACAAGCUAUGCAAUUACUGACACCAGAAAAAUAACCUUCUUGUGUAGGGCUUAUACGUGAAUAGAAUGCCAGCUCAUUAUCUGAAGGGGAAAAAAGGAUUUUUGUUACUGAGUCCAUGACACUAUUUUCAAACUUUUUUAACUAUGUUCACAAUCUAAUUUAAUCCUUAAUUCAAUCUUUUCACUUCAUCCCUAUUUUUUUUUUACCAUGAGUUACUCUGAUGAAAAAAAUCCUAGCACUAAAAUUCUCAGCAUCGUUUUGUAUCAAACAUGCUCUGUAGCACCAACUUUACAAAGACAGUGUUUGUUGACUCGAGUCCCCCUCCAAAAAAAAUGUUUCUAAAAAUGGUCAAACUGUUAAUCUGUCAACAACUGGAUUCCUAUUUUCACUGGCUUGGCCAAGUCAUAUUUCUGCCGUGAAGUCAUCUUUUAUCCCUCUUUCAACACUGAUGAAGCAAAUACUGUCUGGAUUUAACACUGUAAGCAAUUAAGACAUUUUAGUAAUAUUGUAAGUCAAACUUUUCUCUCUCAAUUCUGUUUACACAGAGAACACAAGAAAAUUUUUUUUUGCUAUAAUGGCAGCAAGAGCAAACAAUUAAAGCACCAACCACUUUCUGACCUUCACCUUAUAUCAAGAAGCGACUGAACAAAACUUUUCUUAAUGUUUCUGACUGGUCAUUUUCCAGUACUGCAUAGACACAGCCUUAAAGUUUGACUCCUCUAGUGACAAACUGUCUCCAGUGAAUUUUAGAACAAUAGUUGCAUUUUCAUAUAAGGCUUACGUGGCAUAAGAAACUAGAGCACAUUAAUAUUUCUAUUCAUCCUGCGGUUUUUGGGGUGACAACAUUUGUAUGGCCCACAAAUAUAACAAAUCGAAGCAACAUUCACCUGUCCUAGUUUACCACUUGAAAUGUAAUUUAAUAUUUGGGUUGGUGAAAGGUGGCUGCUAAUCAAACUACGGAUGUUUUGAAAGCGUAGUCAUGACUAACACAAAAGCAGCAUGUAUGUUUACUUACAGGAGAGUUUAUUAAACACAUUUGGUUUCUAAUGAAUCCUUGCACAAUACUGCUGGUAUGCUUACGGGUCUGGUUAGAUCAAUAGAGAGCCUAGUGUGUUCACAGGAGAAGUUCAGCAUUGAACAGUUCAGAACCCUAAAAAACCUUGAAGGGAAUAGCACAGAACCUCAACUUGUUCUUUUGACUGAUCAAACCACAAGAGAAAGAUCAGAUAUCAUCGUAUAUGUCAGAAAAUCAACUAAGAGCAUAGAGUUACACUGAGACAAGAAUCUCCAAUGGAAGUUAACCUGUUAUAAGUGACCCCUUCAACCAUCACAAGGUGACGUAUAUACUACUGCAGGAUGUUUUCAUCCUCCUCCAUAGCACCUGGUACUGGCCACUAUCAGAGACAAGCCACUGGACUAGAUGGACCAUAAGUCUGAUCCUGUAGGGCAAUUCUUGUAUUUCUUAUAACCAGUCCACAGAGUGCCAUAUCCACCUCUCAUCAGAUGGGAUGUCAUCUUAAAGAGAGACUUUGAGGACACAAAGAAUCCUUUCUAAAGCCAAAGAGGAGAUGGAAAA
Molecule: long non-coding RNA, 2542 nt
Organism: Gopherus evgoodei (Goodes thornscrub tortoise)
Lineage: Eukaryota; Metazoa; Chordata; Testudines; Testudinidae
Exons: 3
Source: RefSeq, a predicted model, not a curated record